This is a long non-coding RNA of Thunnus maccoyii (southern bluefin tuna), 1082 nucleotides long. RefSeq lists it as uncharacterized. The record is from RefSeq and is a predicted model, not a curated record. The transcript is spliced from 3 exons. NCBI's taxonomy places the organism in Eukaryota, Metazoa, Chordata, Actinopteri, Scombriformes, Scombridae.
UUUGCAAAAGGGCAAACGCAGCCUCUGCCGAGAUCCAGAACUGCCUGGUUAGUUGCUGCGAUGCACUGUGGGGUUGUUAGUUUCAACAACUUCACUUCAGGCCUUCAUUCAACCUUGCAGAUGCAGAUGUUUUGGGAUUGAAAAGUCUCCUGAGGCAAAUUGACAAUUUCCUUUUUGUGGAAGGAAAUCCAUGUGAACACAGAGGCAGAACCUGCAAACUCUGCACACAGGGACCAGUCUGGCCUUAGUAUAAUAAGAAUAGUUCUUGAAAUCACCUCUUGAGGGCACUAUUGUGCAACCAUGUGGCUCACUGGACGUAAAUAGCAUCAAAUAGCUGAGUGCUGUACUGUGGCUUCUGAAAACCACAAAUUACAGGUUCAAUUUGUAGGUUACUGUAAUCAUCAUGUCUAAGUAGCAGAAAGUAUUUGCAUGGCUGCUAUAUGAAGUUAAAUCAAAGGUACAGUAAAGCAGUCAGUACAUAAUGUAGACCAAUGGACAGAUGUAUACUUAAGUCAUGUAAACCUUACGUGUUAUCAGGGGUGUAGUUUCUCAGCACAGUGUGCUAAUGGUUGGACUGUCACCUCUAUUAAUAGAACUUUGUCUUCUGACCCUGUGCAAAAACACUGCUGAGGUUGUGACAAACAGCACUGCCUAAAAUGUAUCACCUCUGCUAGAAAACAUGGAAGAGAAGACACUAAAAAGUUACUUGUUAAGUAACAUAGGGUUUAUGCAAUUAGUGCACAGUGAGAGAUAUACACAUAAGCACAAGGGGAAACAAUAAAAAUUCAAAAUACAAUUGCUAGUGAAGAGUGUUCACAGAAAAGCCAGUCAUCUCCAACUGAAUCAUACUGGUUUCCUGUGCUUUACUAACUUUCUUCUUCUAGCUUGUUAGAAACGUACUCAUCAAUCACAAUUUAAAUGACCACCCAAAUGUUUUUCUAUGUACUAUAUAUAUAUAUGUAUGAAUCUCCCAAAGUGAAAUCAUAUGGGCAGUGCCGGUUUUAUGGAGGCCUGCAAUUAGAAACUGGGCAGUCUAAGGUCUGAUAAUGAACAAGAAACUCUUACCAGCAAUAAUGUCAUCC